This 489-nucleotide ribosomal RNA is filed under the name Pseudomonas sp. CY24. RNAcentral's name for it is "bacterial SSU rRNA". It matches the Rfam family "Bacterial small subunit ribosomal RNA", at positions 8 to 492 of the family's 1533-position model. The record is from RNAcentral. Lineage: Bacteria; Pseudomonadati; Pseudomonadota; Gammaproteobacteria; Pseudomonadales; Pseudomonadaceae.
AGAGUUUGAUCCUGGCUCAGAUUGAACGCUGGCGGCAGGCCUAACACAUGCAAGUCGAGCGGAUGAUGGGAGCUUGCUCCCGGAUUCAGCGGCGGACGGGUGAGUAAUGCCUAGGAAUCUGCCUGGUAGUGGGGGACAACGUUUCGAAAGGAACGCUAAUACCGCAUACGUCCUACGGGAGAAAGCAGGGGACCUUCGGGCCUUGCGCUAUCAGAUGAGCCUAGGUCGGACUAGCUAGUUGGUGGGGUAAAGGCCUACCAAGGCGACGAUCCGUAACUGGUCUGAGAGGAUGAUCAGUCACACUGGAACUGAGACACGGUCCAGACUCCUACGGGAGGCAGCAGUGGGGAAUAUUGGACAAUGGGCGAAAGCCUGAUCCAGCCAUGCCGCGUGUGUGAAGAAGGUCUUCGGAUUGUAAAGCACUUUAAGUUGGGAGGAAGGGCAGUAAGUUAAUACCUUGCUGUUUUGACGUUACCAACAGAAUAAGCA